Molecule: long non-coding RNA, 200 nt
Filed under: Lathyrus oleraceus (garden pea)
Lineage: Eukaryota; Viridiplantae; Streptophyta; Magnoliopsida; Fabales; Fabaceae
Description: Pisum sativum (pea) long non-coding RNA (PSAT_LNC041116)
Source: RNAcentral
UAAGUAUCUGCUAAGAGAGUAGGGACUGGAUUCCCUCUGAUGAAGAUACUGAUGGCAGCAAGGUCAAUGAAGUUUGGCAUACUGGGAAACAGGAUGAUCCCAUAGAUCAUGGCAGCUAGCUGUGCGUGAAAAACUUCCCAAUUCCCCUUCUCUGCUUCAUCUCUGGCUACCCUCAACAGAAAUUUCAACGGCAGACCAAC